AACGAACGCUGGCGGCAUGCCUAACACAUGCAAGUCGAACGAUGCUUUCGGGCAUAGUGGCGCACGGGUGCGUAACGCGUGGGAAUCUGCCCUUGGGUUCGGAAUAACAGUUGGAAACGACUGCUAAUACCGGAUGACGUCGAUAAGACCAAAGAUUUAUCGCCUGAGGAUGAGCCCGCGUAAGAUUAGGUAGUUGGUGGGGUAAAGGCCUACCAAGCCGACGAUCUUUAGCUGGUCUGAGAGGAUGAUCAGCCACACUGGGACUGAGACACGGCCCAGACUCCUACGGGAGGCAGCAGUGGGGAAUAUUGGACAAUGGGUGAAAGCCUGAUCCAGCAAUGCCGCGUGAGUGAUGAAGGCCUUAGGGUUGUAAAGCCCUUUUACCCGGGAUGAUAAUGACAGUACCGGGAGAAUAAGCCCCGGCUAACUCC
Molecule: ribosomal RNA, 431 nt
Filed under: uncultured bacterium
Lineage: Bacteria
Description: bacterial SSU rRNA
Rfam family: Bacterial small subunit ribosomal RNA
Source: RNAcentral